UACGUAGGCAGCAAGCGUUGUUCGGAAUUACUGGGCGUAAAGAGUGUGUAGGCGGUGCUCCAAGUUUGGUGUGAAAUCUCCUGGCUCAACUGGGAGAGUGCGCCGAAUACUGAGAAGCUAGAGUGUGGGAGAGGAAAGUGGAAUUCCUGGUGUAGCGGUGAAAUGCGUAGAUAUCAGGAGGAACACCGGUGGUGUAAACGGCUUUCUGGACCAUAACUGACGCUGAGGCACGAAAGCGUGGGUAGCAAACAGG
RNAcentral lists this ribosomal RNA (253 nucleotides) under uncultured bacterium. RNAcentral's name for it is "partial 16S ribosomal RNA". It matches the Rfam family "Bacterial small subunit ribosomal RNA", at positions 524 to 776 of the family's 1533-position model. The record is from RNAcentral.